UAAAAGCUUUGGUGGUCAAUAACUGGAAAACUAUAUAUAUACACAUAUGGGGUUUAAUGUAUAAAUUAAAAUCUCAGAGGUUAUCCAAACUUAAGUUGACUUAGAAAUUAGAAUCACAAACACUAUACGACGAACAAGUCGUAUAUAGUUCAGUUUAAGCUCUAUUUAUACGAAAUAAUAUAAAAUCAUCGAAUUAUAUGAGAGACAGACAAAAAUAUGAUUAGUUUACAAAAUUUUUUUUUUUUUUUGUCGGCCAACUGAUCUAUUAGAUAUAGAAAUAUGUUACAAGAGAGUCAUACAUCAAGACAACCAAGUUACAACCAUAGAGGACUGAUUUGUUCUAGCUUCUCGUGCUAGACGAUCAGCUAUUACAUUAACCGUUCUUCUUAUAAAUUUGAAGUUGUAAGAGGCAUUCGUCAAAUCCAUGAUGUCUUCCAAAUAUCCUUGAAUCUCAGCAACUUCCUUAGGAGCGUCC
This 475-nucleotide long non-coding RNA is filed under the name Capsella rubella. Its description in RNAcentral is "long non-coding RNA (CRUB_LNC001110)". Lineage: Eukaryota; Viridiplantae; Streptophyta; Magnoliopsida; Brassicales; Brassicaceae. The record is from RNAcentral.